RNAcentral lists this ribosomal RNA (497 nucleotides) under uncultured bacterium. Its description in RNAcentral is "partial 16S ribosomal RNA". It matches the Rfam family "Bacterial small subunit ribosomal RNA", at positions 28 to 507 of the family's 1533-position model. The record is from RNAcentral.
GAUGAACGAGGGCGGAGGGAGGAAUACAGACAAGUCGAGCGACCAGACGAGGAGCUUGCUCCUCUGACGUUAGCGGCGGACGGGUGAGUAACACGUGGAUAACCUACCUAUAAGACUGGGAUAACUUCGGGAAACCGGAGCUAAUACCGGAUAAUAUAUUGAACCGCAUGGUUCAAUAGUGAAAGACGGUUUUGCUGUCACUUAUAGAUGGAUCCGCGCCGCAUUAGCUAGUUGGUAAGGUAACGGCUUACCAAGGCAACGAUGCGUAGCCGACCUGAGAGGGUGAUCGGCCACACUGGAACUGAGACACGGUCCAGACUCCUACGGGAGGCAGCAGUAGGGAAUCUUCCGCAAUGGGCGAAAGCCUGACGGAGCAACGCCGCGUGAGUGAUGAAGGUCUUCGGAUCGUAAAACUGUGUGAUUAGGGAAGAACAAAUGUGUAAGUAACUAUGCACGUCUUGACGGUACCUAAUCAGAAAGCCACGGCUACCUACGUG